CUAAAGGCUCUUUUAAGAGCCACCACGUUCCACAAGAGAGCUGUGG
Non-coding RNA from Opisthocomus hoazin, 46 nucleotides. The record is from Rfam. Lineage: Eukaryota; Metazoa; Chordata; Aves; Opisthocomiformes; Opisthocomidae.